GAUGAACGCUAGCGGCAGGCCUAACACAUGCAAGUCGAGGGGCAGCACAGAAACAGCAAUGUUUUGGUGGCGACCGGCGGACGGGUGCGUAACGCGUAUGCAACCUACCUUUAACAGGGGGAUAACGGAGAGAAAUUUCCACUAAUACCCCAUAACAUCGAUCAAGGCAUCUUGAUUGGUUGAAAACUCCGGUGGUUAAAGAUGGGCAUGCGUUGUAUUAGGUAGUUGGUGAGGUAAUGGCUCACCAAGCCUACGAUACAUAGGGGGACUGAGAGGUUAGCCCCCCACACUGGUACUGAGACACGGACCAGACUCCUACGGGAGGCAGCAGUGAGGAAUAUAGGUCCAUGGGGGCAACCCUGAACCAGCCAUGCCGCGUGCAGGAAGACGGCUCUAUGAGUUGUAAACUGCUUUUAAACAGGGAUAAAGCACAGUAUGUAUACUGUGUUGAAGGUACUGUAAGAAUAAGGAUCGGCUAACUCCGUGCCAGCAGCCGCCGUAA
RNAcentral lists this ribosomal RNA (502 nucleotides) under uncultured bacterium. RNAcentral's name for it is "partial 16S ribosomal RNA". It matches the Rfam family "Bacterial small subunit ribosomal RNA", at positions 28 to 523 of the family's 1533-position model. The record is from RNAcentral.